RNAcentral lists this ribosomal RNA (303 nucleotides) under uncultured bacterium. RNAcentral's name for it is "partial 16S ribosomal RNA". It matches the Rfam family "Bacterial small subunit ribosomal RNA", at positions 507 to 808 of the family's 1533-position model. The record is from RNAcentral.
AGCAGUCGCCGCGGUAAGACGAACCGUGCGAACGUUAUUCGGAAUUACUGGGCUUAAAGCGCGUGUAGGCGGGUCGGCACGUCGGUCGCUGAAAUCCCCGGGCUUAACCUGGGAACUGCGCUUGUGACUGCACAGCUAGAGUAUGGCAGAGGGGGGUGGAAUUCCACGUGUAGCAGUGAAAUGCGUAGAGAUGUGGAGGAACACCGAUGGCGAAGGCAGCCCCCUGGGCCAAUACUGACGCUCAUGCACGAAAGCGUGGGGAGCAAACAGGAUUAGAUACCCCAGUAGUCCCUGUCUCUUAUA